RNAcentral lists this long non-coding RNA (10531 nucleotides) under Solanum tuberosum (potato). RNAcentral's name for it is "long non-coding RNA (STUB_LNC005276)". The stretch from base 7184 to 7290 matches the Rfam family "Small nucleolar RNA Z279/snoR105/snoR108". Lineage: Eukaryota; Viridiplantae; Streptophyta; Magnoliopsida; Solanales; Solanaceae. The record is from RNAcentral.
GACAGAGAGCCUCUUGAUGUUUCUAAUGGCUAAGCCAAAUUGUAGAUGAGAAAUUAACAAGAAGUCGCCAUCGUCUAGUAGAGUUUGCCAUGGCUAAAUCUGUUAUGUAAAAGUUCCCAUUGAUGAGCUAUGAGAUAUUCUGUUACAUGCAUUUCAAUUUCAGAUUGAGUUAUGGAGAAAACCAUUCAAAAAUCAUUGGUCUAUUUUGACUUUUGUUCUUUCUUUUUCCCCAUUUUGUUUUUUCAGGCUCUAAGUUUCGAAUACAAUUACAAAAAAUGUUUCUCAAACUUCAUUGCCCCAUAAGAAAUAGGGGCGAGAUAGGAGCUUAAUUACUUAGGGGUUGUUUGGUGUGAGGGAUUGGGAGAGUUAAUCCCGGGAUAAAUUUUAAGUAGCCUUUAUUUCCUUGUUUGGUUGGAAAGCUUGGGAUAACUUAUCCCGGGAUUAGGAAUUAGUAUCGGGAUAAGUUACCCCUCCCAUUUGGUGGUAUAGUAAUCCCGGGAUAAUUUAUCCCGGGAUAGAAUAGGAAAAUGACUACUAUAUCCCUUUAAACCCUUUGUAUAUAUCAUUUUUCACAUUUAUGUAUAUUUACAUUAUUUUUAAUAUCAUGUAUAAUAAUAUUNNNNNNNNNNNNNNNNNNNNNNNNNNNNNNNNNNNNNNNNNNNNNNNNNNNNNNNNNNNNNNNNNNNNNNNNNNNNNNNNNNNNNNNNNNNNNNNNNNNNNNNNNNNNNNNNNNNNNNNNNNNNNNNNNNNNNNNNNNNNNNNNNNNNNNNNNNNNNNNNNNNNNNNNNNNNNNNNNNNNNNNNNNNNNNNNNNNNNNNNNNNNNNNNNNNNNNNNNNNNNNNNNNNNNNNNNNNNNNNNNNNNNNNNNNNNNNNNNNNNNNNNNNNNNNNNNNNNNNNNNNNNNNNNNNNNNNNNNNNNNNNNNNNNNNNNNNNNNNNNNNNNNNNNNNNNNNNNNNNNNNNNNNNNNNNNNNNNNNNNNNNNNNNNNNNNNNNNNNNNNNNNNNNNNNNNNNNNNNNNNNNNNNNNNNNNNNNNNNNNNNNNNNNNNNNNNNNNNNNNNNNNNNNNNNNNNNAAUUUAUUUGACUAAUUCUUAUGUUUAUUUAUGUCUUUUGAUUUCUCACAAAUCCUUUUUUACUUUAUCAAACUUAAGAUGGAAAUUCUAUUUUUAAGCCAAAUAAGAAAAAAAAUUAUUUUUCAAUACAUACGGUACCAUAGUGGAAAUGCACACACAAAAAAUAUUUAAACUAAAUAAGAUGCAAGUUUUAUUUUUUUAAAAAUGAAUAAUUAAAGCUUGCAAAGAAACUACAAAAACUAAAUAAAGUGAAGGGUAAUUUUGUAAACAAACAACUUGUUCUUAAAAUUUAUGCAAUACAUAUUAUUUUGAAUACAACAAACCAAACACUCAAUAAAAGAUAACCUCAUCAUAACUUAUCCCAUCAUAACUAAUCUCAUCAUAACUUAUCCAUCAUAACUAAUCUCAUUAUAACUUGUUUUCAAACCAAACGACCCCUUAGAGUAUUUAUGACUCUGAUGGGUCCCACUUUUUAUUUGAGCCCUUUUUCGUUUGUUCAUCUUUCUCCCAUUCCGUUGGUCAACAACCAACAAAUAGGAAAAUUCAAACAAAAAAGUACAGGAAAGGAAACCUUAUUCGAUGAUCGGCGAAUCUUAGAGCAAGCACUAGAAUAGUUGAAAAAUUCUAAGUAAACAUUUGAUAUGAUACAAUCAAUAUAGAAGAAGUUCAAUUUUUUAUUAGUUCAAAUUCUUUCAUUAAAUUUGAGUUGGUAGACAGUGGAUGAGUGUGUCAACUGAACAGUUGGUUUUCUUGACAAUUAGCUUUAUUAGAAAUAACGUUUAUUAGUCAUUUUUUCGGUCACCUCUUUGAAAAAUAGUAACCAUAAAACAAUUUUUCGAUCAUGUCUUUAAAUGUUAUUUUAGUCAUAAUAGGUUUUAAUUCUUCUAUUUUUAUUUAGUUUUUCACCUUGCUUCCUUUCUUCAAAAGGUCAAUAGUUAUUCUCCAUUUAUUUUCAAUGUUGACUUAGAAUCUCAACCUAUUGAUUAGAUUAUAGUCUUUAAUUUGGAGUCAAUUUAUAUAGUUUUCGUAAUAAAAUAUUGUUCUAAAUAUAUAGAUACAAAGGUUAAAUAUAUUUCUUUUUGCUUUUUUCGCUCAUUAUCUAUUUUGAGACUGGAUUAAUUCAGAGUUAUAUCGUGCAAUCUUUAUAUAUUUAGAUUUAUAUAUAUAUAUAUAUAUUCAUUUAUUUGGACAUCCUUCCUGAAAGAGAUCAUCCAUAUAUGGUUGAUCCAAUGGAAAAUGCAUGUGUUGUUUUGGUUUGUUUAAUUGUUGUUAUCAUUGUUGACUCUACUUUUUUCAUAUCUAUGUAUUGUUACAAUUGAAUUGCUUGUGUAAAGUCAAAUUAAAAAGUGCAUAGAUCUUGGAUAAGUUUUUAAUAAUUUUAGUUUUAGAAACUUUUGUUAAUUGAGUCAAUUGUUAUAUAAAUUAUUAAAAUUAUUUUUUAUAAAAAGUAAAUUUUUUUGAAAAUAGAUUUAAGACUUCACUUAUUGAGUAUGUCAGUUAGAAUAUUAUUUUUUACUUGUAUAGUAUAAGCCCAAAUGAUCAAUAAUUCAUAGUAAUUGUUCUGCUUUAGAAAAUAUUCAAAAUUAAAACAAUGCCUUUUAAAAAAAAUCUAAUCAUGUAAUGUCUAAAUAAACACUCAAAAGGUUGAAGAAAAGUCGUACAAAGACAAAAUCAAAUUGAAGUGAAUUAUACAAAAACUAAGAAGUAGAAAAUAACUGCAGAUUUAAUUACCUACAAAUGCAAUCAUAAUUAAGUCAAUUGUAUUUUUAGAAUAUAGAAAAAAAUUGAAAAUAUUCACAUACUAAUUGACAAAAAAUUAUUAAAAUGAUUUUAAUUAACACUAAUAAUCAAUACUCCCUUUGUCUAGCUCUUACAACACACUUUUUAUUAGUCCUUACCAAAAAACAACACAUUUAUAUAUUUAGUAAAACGUUAACUUUAAAAUAUCUAUUUUACCCACUCGGUCAAACUACAUCAUAUAUACCUUAUAGUCUCUCGGUCAAACUAUCAUAUAAAUUGAAACAGAUGAAGUGUAUAUAACUAUAUUUAUAUUUAUACUAAUUAUAACACAAUUGAGCCGUCUCUUGUCUCUCUAAUGGCUAAUCAUCAAGAAUUACCUGAAAUAGCAGCACAAUGUGCUGCUAUGACGGAAGAAGAAAGAGAAGUUAUGGAUAUUCUGUUAAGUUUACCGGAGCUCAUAGCUGAUUUACGCGUUUAUGGCGAAGAUCAGCUUAUUGCUUGGGGCUGGAAGAGACGGAGGUCAGCCGUUAAUUAUCCUCAAACUCCAUUGCCGUCUCCUGAUUCUUCUCCGUCUCCUUCGCCGCGAGAAAAUUGAAGAUUGUGAAGUUUAUAGUUGCAUAUAAUACUAAAGGUUAACGCCGCUAAACUUUAAACUAGCUGGAUGAUUGGGCUGAUCGAUCAUGUUGUUCAUGCUUAGUGUUCUUGUGGAAUUAUUAAUUGUAUAACUUAUAAGAAUAUUUAAGAUAAAGAUAAUCAGUUUAAAUUUAAUUUUGUUUUUGUUAUAGUACUUAGGGAUGGUAUGUUUAUGUUCUUACAAAAUCGUUUUAUAUUUAUCCUUUUAUGUAACGGAGCUUCAACAUGAAUAAGACGGGUAAAAAACCCUAAUUCUUUUUUUGAGUUUGAGCUAAAGCUACUAGUUUCGCAGCCGUUUAAUUAUUUGGUAAGGAAAAUUAAAGGUAAAAUUAAGAUAUUUCAUGUUGUUGAUUUUUUAUUUUUUUAUUUUAAUUUCCUCUAAAUUAAUCAGUUUGUAGAAUAUACAACAAUUAGAACAGUUUUGAUAGUCGGAAGAUUCUCUUAAACCUAGUUAUUUAUUUAUUGGAUGAUUAAUCUUUUAUACGACUUAAUUAAUUUGUGUUAAUUUUAUGUAGGAGCAAUAUAUGCAGGAAAUUAUUGAGUUGCUCAAGGUCCAGAGUCACCUAGAGAAGCAAAUAAUAUUCAACAACACCUUGCAAUAGUUAACUGCUGGAACAACAACUUUGGCACCCCGUCAAACCUCGUUAUAGGCGAAAUACUAUUAUAAAUUACUUAUAAUAUAUGAAUAAUAUGUCAAUAUUAAUGAAAUAUUAUUAUAAAGAAUGACAAUAUUAUUAGUUUCUCUUCUGAUCUUAUCAUUAGAGAAUUAAUUAUAAUAUCUCUCUCUAGCUUAUUUAUCAUUGUUAUUAUAUUUGUGAGAUGAAAAAAAGGUAAUAUAACAUGCAUGGUGACUAAAUUGGUGCGACAUGUGAUAUCUCAUAAAGAAGGUUAGUGAUCAAUUUUCCUUGUCAAUGUCUUCUUAAUCAAGAUUGUCACAUCUGUUUAAAUUUUAAUCGGUCUCCUCAUUUUUGAGCUAUUGCAUAGGAACUCUUUUGUCUUAUUAUAAUUAGUUUGGACUGUUGUCUAAUUAUUUAUGCAAUGUUCAAAAUAAUAUUCCUAAGUUCUAAAAUUGUUUACUAUGUAUUUGAUGUACGUAGCAGUGCAUGGCUGAUUCAAGGAAUUGAUUUGUUUCGAUCUACCUUAAGUGAUCCUCUACGUGACACAAACUCAUAAUAAAAGAAUGAGAAGUACACUAAAUAUUGUAAAAUUGUUGAAAAUUCACUAAAUAUAUGCAUAUAGUAUACUUCAAAUACAUAAAUAUUCUAAUAUAUAACUCAUAAAUUUUAAAAUCUAAAUCUUUUGAUGAUUAAAAUCAUCAUAUAAGCUUUUUUAUAAAAAUCAAGUUUGAUUAUCGGAAUUUUUAUUUAAUUCGAAUUGAAAAGGAGUGAAAACUUAUAAUGGAUUUUGAUUGUUUUGGCCCAUUUGGGCUUAGCAAUGAAGUACUGUAUAUAUUCCACACGUAAACAUUCUCUCUUUCACACCCACAAACUCUUUAUCUAGAAAGUCUUAUAUCUCCCGUGUGGUUGAUUUACGAAAUAUUACAUAUAGUACGUAUUUAAAAAAAAUAGCGACUGUGAAUUUGUUCGAAGGUUCCCAAAAAAAAAAACCAAUGGAGCUUAGAAGUGACAGAUUUGACUGUAUUCAUUAUUUUAUCAAAACAUUAAUAUUUAUAUGCAAAGUAUAACUAUAAUAUCAAUAAGUACUAAUUUUUUGAAUUUAUAAUUAAAUUUUAUGAGUCGAGCCUGUCGCAUAGGGCUUGUCUAGUGUGGUUUACAUCCCCCGUGUAGUUUGUAGGCUAUUACACAGUGGAGGUUUACCCAAUGCGCACAAAGUACUCACCCAAAGGGCAGAGGCUAUAGCAGAAGUUGUAGCAGCUGCGGGUAUCGUGAGGUUCCAAAAAGAAAUAAAAUAAAUAAUAAUAAAAAAAAUAUUCUAUUCAACUUGAACUUUAAAAGAUGAACUCGUAAUUUAAAUUUUAGAUCCAUUUUCUUUGACAUCAAUGUAAACAUAAAUUAGUACUAAUAUUGAUAUAGUCAACUUAAUUAAACCAAAUUACCCAAGCAAAAGCUUCAUUCAGCUUUAAUAGCAACUAGAACCAAAUACCAUGUAUCCCUUUUGGACCCCUUGCACCUUUUAAACUCAACUCCCCAAAACUUAUUGUAUCUUCUUACAGUAUAUCAUUUUUAAUUUUUUUAAAAAGCCCUUAAAAUCUUCCAAACAUUUUCAACGUCCUUUAUAGUCUAACCCUUUUGAACCCCAUGCCCUUAUUAAACUCUCUUUUUAGAUAAUUGCACAUUUUCCCUAGUGACACAAAGGUGGAGUUAACACAAAUACAGAGUUUUGGGUCAAAACUAUUAGAUUUUGUUGAAAUCGUAACUGCUAUUGUGCNNNNNNNNNNNNNNNNNNNNNNNUUUUGGCCCCCCCCCCCCCCCCUUCCAAAUAUUCCAUAUGCUUAUAUAAAUCACACUUUUCUUCUUUUCUAGUCUCUAAUAAGUAUUUCUAAUUCUAGCUUUUGAUCUACAAGUAUGGCAUAUAACAUAGCAAUUUCCUUGUUCAAUAUGAUGUGCUACUACUAUUCCUAUUUCUUUCAAUCACAAGAUAUUGCAAAUUCACUCCAUUCAAUCUUUUCUCUACUAACCUCACUACUUCUCACCUUUAUCAUAUUGAAGUACCAAAAUCAUGACAAUACACCCUUUGAAACACACCCCAAAUCCAUAUAUUGUGCUAUAACAAGCUUUCUUGCUUAUUACAUGUUACAUGACAUAGAAAGAAGAUUUUCUCCACAACGACGGCGUAUAAUUACAAGGAGUUGUGCCUAUGUUGUUGUUGUUCAUUGUUAUUCCAUGUUGUUGUUUGGAUCAUUGUGGGUUGCAUCUUUGGUGUCUAUUUUGCUACCAGACUCAGCUAGCCCUGUUUUGUAUUUGCUCUGUCUCAUGCUUCCUAUUUGUGGAUUACUACAUUUGGCCUAUAGGAACAUUGUGGUGAUUUUUUGGCCUAGGCAUGAUCAGAGGUGGUUCAUGGCUCAUUUUUAUCGUAUCCGUGACCAAUUGGAUCUCCCUUUGUAGGAAGAUUCAAGGGUGGAUCUUACUUGAAGUUACAUGUUCGACAAAAUUCAAUAAUUUUGAUUCAUAUCUUGUAAUUGUAUAAUUUGUAUUAUGUAAUUGAAUCAGUUUCAUAUGUAUAAGAAUCUAUUCAAUAUCUAGUAAGAAAAUAGGUUCUGGUCCAACUUACAAACUUAAAAUUUUUGGAUGUACCUCUAGGAGGACCUUAUACUUUUUAAUAUGGGUGCAAUUUACAACUUCAUUGCUCUUACCUGGCUUCGCUCCUGAUUGUGGCUCAACCAAGUUAAGAUUCAUGACAGGAUGUUUCAUAUUGGGGAUAAAUCACUUUUUAACUAAGGUGAUUUCAUAUUUAAUACUUUAACACGACAUUUCUAAUUAAGAACAACUCAACCAUCGAUACUUAUUAGUUGAUCCUUCCAAGAUUUCUCCAAGGAUGAAGCUUUAAAUCCAAGCAAAUGCUAUUUGAUAGUAGUAUAUACUAGCAUUUCACUUAUCAGACAGAAUUAAGAGUAAACUGAUCCAUAUUAGCAUUAGAUUACUUAACAUAUAGCUGCAAAAUGAAUUUAAGAUAACGAACCACAUCGGAGAAUGAAGAUAGUUGUGGCCUCGUUGGUUAGAAUAAAAAAUGGAGGCUGUGGGUUAAGUUAAAAUAUGAUCCUUCAGGCAAGUUUUAACGGGAUAUGAUGAGUGGUCAAUACUCGCAUUAAAAUAUGUGAGAAGGGCGUUCAGGCUCAGCCUGGUUACGACAAUUUGGGCGCUCUCAAUUUUAUCAAUCUGAUCCCUAUGCUUGAAUUAUCUUAUAACCCCUACCCCCACCCCUCUACACACACCCUCCCCCCUAAGUUAAGUUUUCUAAUUUUUUUUAUUUUUUUUAUAGAACAUAGUUUGCUUUAUAACUAAAUUAUAAGGUACUUACAUUUCUUAUUGGAAUGAUAUCAACUAAAUGAUUAGUGAUAAUUUAGAACCAAAAAAAAAAAAACACAACCACCUAUAAUAUUUCAUGUAGAAAAUUCACAAACAAAAUAAUAGUUCAGGUAUACUAUCAUUAUCAUUGAACAAUUCGAUCAUGAGUGAUGGGAUAAAACAUUAAAUAUUACUCCAUAUAUCACAAAUCAUAAUAUUCAAAGAACAUUUUUGUACAUUAAACAUAUUUCAAAUUGUAGACUUUAAUAUUCACGGUUAAUUGUGCAACUAUUAGGACUCAAAAUUCAAUAAUGAAACAUGAUUGAUAUUAUUAGAGAGUCCUACAUCGAAUUAUAUUACUUAUAUGAUAUAUAACAAUCCUUCUUUUAUGAACUAGUUUUUAUGGUUACGGAUAAGUAUCACUUUACCCACACCGAUCAAAUAACUUUCGUAGAGAUUAUUUCAUAAAACAUCCGUACAUUUAUAUCAUAUGAUACAGAACAAUCCUUCUUUUAUAAACUAAUUUUAAUAAUUACAGAUAAGUAUCAUUUUACCCACACCGAUCAAAUAACCUUUCGCAGAGAUCAUUUCAUGAAACAUCCAUACAUAAAUUAAAUUAGGACUAGAAAAUAUUCUUAACUAAUAAAUCAUAAUUAAAUAAUUAUCAUAAAUACCAUAAAUAACAAAUUCUAAACUACUAAGAUAUCUUAUUCUCAAUUUGUUUCCUACAGAUUUCUGAUUAAUUAUGGACUUAAAAGUAAAUCAAAUGAAAUGAUCAUAUUAUAGAUGUAAUAACAUUUUAGUUAGUGUAAUUUGUACUUUAGAGGAAAGGUUUAAGAAAGGAAGUUAAGGUUAGAGAACCCAAAACUUGGGUAAAAUGUUUAGAUUUAUUUAUUGAAGAUGAGACAAUAGCAAUAAAGAUGAAAUAAAGACAAAAUUGCAGCAUUUGUGGAUGUGCUCUUCUCAAUGAUUAGGAAGUAAAAUAUCUUGUAGUAGUGAAAAGAAAAAUUGACACCUCCUACUUAUUUACUCCACCAUUUAUGUCUCUACACUUCACUUCUUUCUGAUUCAUUACCACAAUUACUUGUUCAGCAAACACCUUUUACAUUUACUUUUUACAACAUGAUUACAGAAUUAGAGAACAUUUUCAUAUACUCUCUUUAUUUCUUUAGUUCUAAUUUAUAUGACGCAUAGUUAGAGCGUGACCUAGUCAAUAAAUUGAUUGAGAAUCAUGAGGAUUUAGGUUUAUCCGUUGAGACAAAAACACUUGUGAGUUUUCCUAUUUGUGUUAGCCUUGGUGUGACAGGUAUUCCGUUCAAUUAGUGGAGGUGUGUGAAAGUUGGCUCGGACAUCACAGUCGUCAAAAUAAAUAAAUUAUGUGACACACUUUUUAAUUAAUUACGUCUUAGAAAUGAUGUCACAUUUCUAGCACUGGUGGAAGUGCUUCACCUAGACCUUUGGUCUCGGGUUCGACCCCUGGGUAUGGAGAAAAUCUUGUUGGGAGCGCCACCCCCGAAUGGGUCCUGCAGAGCGCGAUUCAGAUUUAGUCGGAGUUCUAAUGUGGGCUCCGAACACCGAGUGGGAGACCAAAAAAAAAGCUUAACUUGAAAUUACAUAUUUAUCCUUAAUAAAAUUAUUUAUACAAAUAAUCAACCGGUUUUAGAUGACAAAUUUUUUUUUUAGAAAAACUUAUUUUCUUUAAUAAAUUUGUGUCAAAUCAAAUAAUGUCACAUAAAUAAAAAUAAAAAUAAUAAUUUCUUUCUUAAAUUUUGCAUCAAAUUAGACUAACAAAUUAAAAUCGAAAGAUUACUUUUUUUUAUGUUUAACCAAAACUGUAAAAGUUUAAAGAUAUUAAUACUCGUAUUUCCAAAAUUUGGUAGGACGUGAUAAUUUGACUUAUUUCACUCUGUAUGCAUUUUAUUGGAUUGGAUUGGAAACAGGCUGUAGUCUUUGAGUUUUCCACCUACCCUACCCCCAAACCUUCUGACACGCCACUUAAGAAGAAAAAGGAAAUAAAAAUAGAAUUGAAAAUGAAGAAAAUUUAUAAGAAAAAUAAAUAAGAGAAGUAUUGAACUCCCGAAUUUGAUGUAAAUUAUUAGUUUCAUUCUAAAUUACUGUCAGUUUUAAAAACAUUCUUUAACUUGUCUAACUAAACUUAGAUAAAUCCUGAUACAAGUGGCCUCAAACUCUUGUAAGAGCAUGAAACUCUUAAUAAAAAACUGAAAGAAAUGUUGAAAAUAUUUUUAAACUUAGUGAGAAUUUAGGAGUGUAUUUUACUCAUAUUGCAAGAUCGAAGGUGUAUUUAAAGUUCAAUUAAUCAAAUAAAAGGAUAUUUUUAAAAUUAUUAAUAGUUUAAAAAUGAAACUAAUGAUGCGCGUUGAAUUUAGGAUACUUUUAAUAUGUUCUGAAUGAAUUAAGUGAAAAGAACAUAUCCAAUCAUUUGGUAUUUUGAAUCCACUAAUCGAUUAAGUUAAAUUCGUUUUACGGUGCAUCCAUUAAAGGGAAAACAAUUAGAGAGGUAGAAGUCCAAAUACAAAUUUUAAAAAAAAUAUUGAAUGUAUUUACAUAUUAAGUAGAAUCAAUUUUAGUAUUUCUAAUUAUUCAAAAUUUCAAAAUCUAUAAAAUUAAAUAUUAAAAUCCUGCUCCACCUUUAUUUCAAGUAUUUCCUUAAUCUUAGGACUUGAGUCCAAAACCUCUUAUUAUAGUCCUAAUGUUAUUAAGUUAUUUUGACGCCAAUUAAAUUGAUUUUAAGACUCCAAUUUAUAUCUCUUAUCACCAAAAGAAAAAAGAAAAACUUUUCUUGACAUAAUUACAGGUAAUAAAUAAUAAUAAUCAUAAUUAAGUAAUUAAACUUGUAAAAAGUACAUGUUAUAUGAGAUACUCUGUUACAUGCAUUUCAAUUUCAGACUCUUUGAGUUAUGGAGAAAGCCAUUCUAAAAUCAUUGGUCUAUUUUGACUUUUGUUCUUUCUUUUUCCCCAUUUUGUUUUUUCAGGCUCUAAGUUUCGAAUACAAUUACAAAAAAAUGUUUCUCAAACUUCAUUGCCCCAUAAGAAAUAGGGGCGAGACAGGAGCUUAAUUACUUCUAGUAUUUAUGACUCUGAUGGCAACACAUGACCGGC